GCUCCAUGCUCAACACCGUGCGCACGGCACUGUGUUGAUUUUUUGUGGUAUAAAAUGAGGCUGGAUGCGCUACUUUUGGUCAGAAGAAGAAAGUGAUCAGUGCUGUAAAAAAUAAACUUUAGUUGCAAAACGAGAAUUUCCAAAAAGCUCCAACAAAAUGCCGUGCAAAGGAUGCGAUCCAAACUGCAAAACCUGCUCAAAGAACUGCUGCCAGGGAUGCCAGUGCGACUCAACCACUAAAUGCCCAUGCAAAUGCGGAGAGAAUGGAUGCUGCAAAAAGGAAUAAACUCCCUGUUAGAGAAUAAAACAUCCGGCAUUUUCCUGCAAUCAUUUGUUUUAUUUCUUUUUAUCCGAUGAAUUUUGGUUAAAAUGUACUUUGCCGAAUAAUUACAUAUUACAUAACUCUAAGACUAAUUAAUAUUGUUGAUAAAAUUAAUAAUAAUAAAAAACUCUAAUCAAA
Molecule: long non-coding RNA, 460 nt
Organism: Lutzomyia longipalpis
Lineage: Eukaryota; Metazoa; Arthropoda; Insecta; Diptera; Psychodidae
Exons: 2
Source: RefSeq, a predicted model, not a curated record